This is a long non-coding RNA of Myodes glareolus (Bank vole), 566 nucleotides long. RefSeq lists it as uncharacterized. NCBI's taxonomy places the organism in Eukaryota, Metazoa, Chordata, Mammalia, Rodentia, Cricetidae. The record is from RefSeq and is a predicted model, not a curated record.
CCUUGCCCCAGACUGUCCUUAAGUAGGUGGAGUCUGCUAGGGAGUGCCUUGCCUGGAAGGGCAAAGGGCUCUGUCUUCUUAGUCACGACCAGCUGACAAGAGUCUCAGUCACCAGGCCACCUUUGUAGGGACAUUGAAAGAACCCAGAAUUCCGAGCGGCUGGAGCACUGGGGGACACCCGGGCAGAGCCUUCCCUGGAACAAGCCCUGCUGGAGCGGGAUGAAGCCAUUGCUAAGAAACGCGCAGUGGAAGCUGAGCUGGACUCCUGCAGAGAGAGAUUGCGCACAGUGGAGGCUCAGCUGCUGGAAGCCCUGCAGGAGAAACUGAGGCUGAAGCAGGAAGUGGAGGCCUGGGAGGAAGACAUGCAGCAGGUGAUUCGAGAGAGAGUACAGAGUCAACUGCAGGGAGAGUCCAGGGGCGCUCUGGGGACCCAAGCGAACACAAGCGCCGGCAGGAACUCCCGGAUGCACCUCUCGCGGAGUCAGUGGGGACGAUGGUGGUGAAAAUGGAUCCCAGAACUUUAAGAGAACUGCCUUUAUUCAUUAAAGGGUUGGACGACCUCUGUA